Molecule: ribosomal RNA, 490 nt
Filed under: uncultured bacterium
Lineage: Bacteria
Description: partial 16S ribosomal RNA
Rfam family: Bacterial small subunit ribosomal RNA
Source: RNAcentral
AGUGAACGCUGGCGGUAGGCCUAACACAUGCAAGUCGAACGGCAGCACAGUAAGAGCUUGCUCUUACGGGUGGCGAGUGGCGGACGGGUGAGGAAUACAUCGGAAUCUACUUUUUCGUGGGGGAUAACGUAGGGAAACUUACGCUAAUACCGCAUACGACCUACGGGUGAAAGCAGGGGAUCUUCGGACCUUGCGCGAUUGAAUGAGCCGAUGUCGGAUUAGCUAGUUGGCGGGGUAAAGGCCCACCAAGGCGACGAUCCGUAGCUGGUCUGAGAGGAUGAUCAGCCACACUGGAACUGAGACACGGUCCAGACUCCUACGGGAGGCAGCAGUGGGGAAUAUUGGACAAUGGGCGCAAGCCUGAUCCAGCCAUACCGUGUGGGUGAAGAAGGCCUUCGGGUUGUAAAGCCCUUUUGUUGGGAAAGAAAAGCAGCAGGUUAAUACCCCGCUGUUCUGACGGUACCCAAAGAAUAAGCACCGGCUAACUUCG